This is a long non-coding RNA of Platichthys flesus (European flounder), 869 nucleotides long. RefSeq lists it as uncharacterized. Lineage: Eukaryota; Metazoa; Chordata; Actinopteri; Pleuronectiformes; Pleuronectidae. The record is from RefSeq and is a predicted model, not a curated record. The transcript is spliced from 4 exons.
CCCGGUUCCGGUCCCGGUCCGCGUGGUUCCGGAUAAAGUCCCUGAAGUGGAGCAGCAGGUCGGAGUUCUUCGCGGAGCCUCCGCUGCUUCGCAGGUAGAGGAGCACCGCGUCCUGAGACAGAAACACACAAACCACAACAACAGAAGACAGAGGCUGGUUGGUCACUAACGAUAUUUCCCCGGCUGCAUGGCUGCUAAGAGGCGAGCAGCUGAUCUGCAGUAUGAAUAUGGAGGCGGAGCUCCAGCAGAGACUCAGAUCAACAGGAAGAGAUUCUAUCAGAGUAAAGAGGAGACUGGAGGAUUCUGGGUAAUGACCGGACGUGACUGGAACACCUCACCACGUUAUCACUGCCGAUGUUCACCCUCUUCAUUAUGUCUGUGGGAACUGGUGUCGUCCCGUUGUGGCUGGAUUUGAGCUCCUCCCUGGAUCAUGUGACCUGUGUUACCUGGCGGUGAACCUGAGGACCUUGGAGAUGAGACCAGUGGCCAGGCCGUUGACGUUGGCGUCCGAUGGCGUCCGACACAACGCCCCGUCCGAGCGGCCCAGCUCCGCUUUCUUCUGCUUCCUGCGGAGCUUCCUGCGGUAGAAGACCUCCAGCAGCUCCAUCGUUCGAUUCUAAAUAUUCUAGUUUCUUUCAACUCUGCUUUUCUAUUCGUCUCUUAGAAAGUGAAAGAGGCUUCUCCACAACUUUCUUCAACUUUCCUCGUCUUGUUUCCUUUUUUUGAGCUUUAACCUGAGCUUAAAAUAAAUCCAGACCCUCGUCCUGAAUCGAAUGAGUCUCUGUGUCUCCUUAGAAAAUGAUCCGCUCCUUUAUUUCCUACGACUCUCCUCUCCUGAUCCCGUCGCUUUGCUCCACUUCACGUUCUGG